UAAGCUACUACCCAUUUCUCUCUUCUUGUUGUUUGGCAUACAUAAAUGAGCUGAGGGAAGAGUUUGUGUGGGGUGGGAGAUGAAAUUACUAUCAGAGUUGGAAGCUUUAUUGUUCUUUUGCUUUUUCAUGGAAAUGUAAUCUGUUACUAUUUCUCAAGUGUGGAAUUCUUUUUUCAAAUUGGUUUUAUUUUUCGUGGUUUUUGUAAUCUGUUUUCUUUUUCCCCACAUCAAAAGGAGCAGCUUUUUCUAUGGCAAGAAAUAAUGAAGCUACUGCCAACGAGUCCAAGAAUGAAUCUAAGGUAAAUAUUUUUCUUUUCUCUAAUUAUUAAAUUUG
RNAcentral lists this long non-coding RNA (334 nucleotides) under Nicotiana tabacum (common tobacco). Its description in RNAcentral is "long non-coding RNA (NTAB_LNC000009)". Lineage: Eukaryota; Viridiplantae; Streptophyta; Magnoliopsida; Solanales; Solanaceae. The record is from RNAcentral.